CCCUCCGCUUCCCUCUACCGGUUUGCCCGAAAUCAUCACAAUACCUCGACUUCAUCCUUCUCUCUUGCGCCCGAAGCCCUAGUGCUACAGUCGGACUGGAGCUCUCUGUGAAGGCAACGACGGGACCGCGACGCACCAAGAUCUCUGAAACCUGGUAAAACUCCCCUUUUCACUCCACUCCUACCUGACUAACCCUCGUCUUUCUCUUUCCUCCUCCUACACCCCCUUCGUGCGCCUCAGCUAUGCCAAAUCCUCUAAAUCCACCUCCUAACGGGAUUUACUGUAUCUGGGAUUUAAGGCAAAACGUAGGAGAAACGGGAUUGAAGGCGCUGUAGGAUAUAAAUUUGUCAUUUUUGCUGUUUGACAGGAUUUAGGUUAAAUUAUGCUUAAAUCCUAUUUGGUGACAGCCCCUUCCCCUCUCUGUCCGAAGCCCUAGCCUACAUUCUCCUCUCCCGGUUUUGCCCAAACUUCCCAUCGGCGCCCAAACCCUCGCUUAUCUCCCUCCCGGUUUCGCCGAAACUUCCCAUCGGCGCCCAAACCCUCGCUUAUCUGCCUCCCGGUUUUUCCCAAAACCAUCGCUUUCGUGAACGAACCUUCACGAUACAGUCGCCAUUAGAGCUACCUGGGAAGGCAACGACGGGAUCGCGGCUUACAAGGACCACGAAACUCCCAUCUUUCUCAUCCUUUGGCUCCGCUACUACCAGAAACCAUUUAGGAAGUUGGAAGUUGUUUGAAUGAUGCGAUUUAUUUGAAGCGCUGUAAGCUGCGUGGCAAAGCAUUAGUUUAAUUGAUGGCUCCAAUGGCUGAUCUUAGAAAUGGUAACACAAGACCUCCAGCAUCUGGAUCUGCUGGCGCUUACACAAUUGAUGUUGUUAACUUCAGCAAUCGGUUGAAAGUGUUUUACACUCACUGGCGGGAAAAUAAGUCUGAUCUUUGGGGCGCUUCAUCUUCUAUUGCUAUUACUACACCCCCUCCUUCUGAUGAUAUUCGAUAUCUAAAAUCCUCGGCCUUGCAUAUCUGGUUGUUUGGAUAUGAAUUUCCAGAAACGAUUAUGGUUUUUAUGAACAAAAAGAUCCAUUUCUUGUGCAGUCCGAAGAAGGCUGCUGUCCUAGAAACUGUAAAAAAAUCGGCAAAGGAUGCUGUUGAUGCUGAAAUCAUAAUUCACGUCAAGCAAAAAAGUGAUGAUCUAUCUGCUUUGAUUGAUGUUUUAUUACACGCCAUUCAAAGUGAGUCAGAGAAGCCAAUUGUUGGCCGAAUUCAACGAGAAGAACCAGAAGGAAAGCUCAUGGAAAGCUGGACAGAGAAGUUGGCUGGCUCUAAUUUUCAGCUUUCUGACAUCACGGCUGGGUUUUCUGAAUUGUUUGCUAUCAAGGAUGCCUCUGAGCUUAACUGUGUGAGGAAGGGAGCGUAUCUCACUGCAAUGGUGAUGAAAAACUUUGUCGUUCCAAAGCUUGAGCAAACUAUUGAUGAGGAGAAGAAGGUCUCCCAUUCAACUCUUAUGGAAGAGACGGAGAAGGCAAUUAACGAUCCUAUUAAAUUGAAGGUCAAGCUGAAGGCUGAAAAUGUUGAUAUUUGCUACCCUCCGAUUCUUCAGAGUGGGGGAAAGUUUGAUUUGAGGCCGAGCGCAUCAUGCAAUGAUGAUAAUCUCUACUACGAAUCUUCAAGUGUGAUUUUAUGUGCAUUAGGGGCACGCUAUGGCAGCUAUUGCUCAAAUAUUGCUCGGACUUUUCUUAUUGAUGCUAACGCUAAACAGAUCAAAGCAUAUGAGGUUCUCCUCAAGGCACAGAAUGCUGCCAUCAGUGCAUUGAAGCCUGGGAACAUGCUCAGUUCUGCUUACAGAGCUGCUGUUUCAGUUGUUGAGAACGAAGCCCCUGAGCUUCUUCAAAAUCUUUCCAAGUCAGCUGGGACAGGAAUUGGUUUGGAGUUCCGUGAAUCUGGGUUGACUUUGAAUGCAAGAAAUGAUCACAAGGUGAAACCGGGGAUGGUUUUCAAUGUUUCUCUUGGAUUUCAGAACCUGCAAUCUCAGACUAACAAUCCAAAGACUGAAACAUUCUCUCUGCUUUUGGCUGAUACAGUUAUUAUUGCAAGUGAGAAGCCUUCAGAAGUAUUGACUUCCAUUUGCUCUAAGGCUGUCAAGGAUGUUGCUUAUUCUUUCAAAGAAGACGAGGAGGAACCAUCCAAGAAGGAAUCUGAUGUCAGUAUCGCUGAGGCCGUCUUAUCUAAGGCAUCCUUGAGGUCAGAUAAGCAUGAUGUAUCAAAGGAAGAACUGCGGAGGCAACACCAAGCAGAACUUGCCAGGCAAAAGAAUGAGGAAACGGCCAGGCGGCUGGCCGUGGGUGGCCCUGCUACCGGGAAUACUCGUGGGCCUGUGAAAGCUUCGAGUGAAAUGAUGACCUACAAAAAUGUUAGUGAUCUUCCAUAUGCUAAGGAAUUUAUGAUCCAAGUGGAUCAGAAGAAUGAAGCUGUUCUCAUCCCAAUUUUUGACACUGUUGUGCCUUUCCAUGUGUCCACUAUCAAGAGUGUUACCAGCAAUCAAGAUAAUCGAACAUGCACUGUUCGCAUUAUAUUCAAUGUGCCCGGUACCCCAUUCUCGCCUCAUGAUGCCAACUCUAUCAAGCACCAGGGUGCUAUAUUUUUGAAAGAGGCGACCUUCCGUUCUAAGGACCCAAGACAUAGCAGCGAAGUUGUUCAGUUAAUUAAGACCCUUAGAAGGCAAGUCGCAUCAAGGGAGUCGGAGAGAGCUGAGAGGGCCACUUUAGUCACUCAGGAAAAACUUCAACUAGCUGGUAAUAGGAUGAAACCAAUAAGAUUGUUGGAUUUGUCGAUACGACCUGCAUUCCCUGGUCGUGGACGAAAGCUCACCGGAUCUUUGGAAGCUCAUAUUAAUGGUUUUCGUUAUUCUACUUCGAAAAUUGAUGAGCGAGUCGAUAUCAUGUAUGGAAAUAUAAAGCACGCCUUCUUCCAGCCUGCAGAGAGAGAGAUGAUAACGCUUUUGCACUUUCGCUUGCAUAAUCACAUAAUGGUAGGCAACAAGAAGACCUUAGACAUUCAGUUUUAUGUAGAGGUGAUGGAUGUUGUUCAGACGCUUGGGGGUGGGAGGAGAUCAGCCCUUGAUCCUGAUGAGAUCGAGGAGGAGCAGCGGGAGAGGGAUAGAAAGAACAAAAUAAACCUGGAAUUCCAGAACUUUGUUAAUAAGGUGCAUGAUCAUUGGGGACAACCCCAAUUCAGAGAUUUAGAUCUUGAGUUUGAUCAGCCUCUCAGAGAGCUUGGUUUCCAUGGAGUUCCCCAUAAGGCUUCAUCCUUCAUUGUUCCAUCUUCAAGCUGUUUAGUUGAACUGAUUGAGACGCCGCCUCUAGUGAUUACCUUGAGCGAAAUUGAAAUUGUUAAUUUGGAGAGGGUGGGUCUAGGGCAGAAGAGCUUUGACAUGGCCAUUGUGUUUAAGGAUUUUAGUAAGGAUGUAUUCCGCAUAGAUUCAAUUCCGUCUUCUUCGCUCGAUGGAGUGAAGGAAUGGCUAGAUACUACUGAUAUCAAGUACUACGAGAGCAGGCUGAACUUGAACUGGAGACCUAUAUUGAAAACUAUCACUGAUGAUCCGGAAAAGUUCAUUGAAGAUGGUGGGUGGGAGUUUCUCAACCUGGAAGCCAGCGAUUCAGACUCUGAUGCAUCUCAGGAAUCAGAUCAAGGGUACGCACCGUCUGAUAUGGAGGUCGAGUCUGAAUCCGAUGAUGAUGAUAAUGAUAGCGAGUCUCUGGUGGAGUCAGAGGAAGACGAGGAAGACGAUUCAGAGGAGGAUUCAGAGGAAGACAAGGGAAAGACAUGGGAGGAACUAGAGAAGGAGGCGAGCAGAGCUGACCGGGAAAGAGGCGGCGAGUCUGACAGCGAAGAGGAGAGGAAAUGGAGGAAGGCGAAGGCUCUGGGAAAAUCACGCCUUCCUGAUAGAAGAGAUUUGAAAGCCGCUCCUUCUAAGAGGCCAAAGCUUAGGUAACAUGGUUAAAGUUUAUGAUAAUUGCCAGUACUUAGCAAUUAUUUAGCAGUUCAGGUGAUGCUGUAUCAGUUAUCCUCUAGUUUUAUUAUUUUGCAAAAAUAGUUUGAUGUUUUGCAGCGUGAGCCAGCUCUGUUGGUUCCGGGCAAAUCAUGUAAUUGGGUCAAUUUUCCCUCAACUUUGUUGUAUCAUCUACACGUUGGAACUCAUUAUGGACUGUUAAAGAUCAGA
Molecule: RNA transcript, 4213 nt
Organism: Phalaenopsis equestris
Lineage: Eukaryota; Viridiplantae; Streptophyta; Magnoliopsida; Asparagales; Orchidaceae
Gene name: FACT complex subunit SPT16
Exons: 4
Source: RefSeq, a predicted model, not a curated record